CUAGAGCCCUGUAGAAGGGAUGGGAUGGCAACCAAAGCAGACUUUCUCCCUAGGACUUUGAGGAGCAGCCGCCUGUAAAAGAAAGGAAUCAGAUAUUUCUUAGAAAACCACCACCAAAUUCAAAAUACAUUCAACUUUCCUUUGUCUGAUCUAUUCUUCUCCUGAAUAUGAUGUGCAAGAUGUUUCCUACAGAAAAAUCUUAAUAGGAGACCAACAGUGAUGGGAUGAGGGAAGAAUGGAGAGGUGGAGAGUUGGCUCCAUGGGCUAGAAGGGGAACAAACAGGAAUAUGGUAGCUGAGAAAGAACUACAUAGAGGAAAAUAUGCCUUUGGUAGAAGGAAAUGAUCAAAAAGGACAGAUACUUGAACUUCUUUCCUAGUAUCAUCUGAGGACAGAAGACUGAAAGCCUGGGGCAAUAAAGAGCAACGUCUGUUCCUCCCUCCCCUCACUUUUUGAAAGAGCUUGAUCAUUCUCCUGUAGUUGUAUGCAUUGGCAUCCAGAAAGUUUGAAUAGUCUGGGUAGAAGAUCAAACCAGCCACAUUUCCUUGAGCCAAACCCUAAUCCAGAGAAAGGCCCUAGUUUGCUUCAAUUCUGUGAUGACUGAGAGAGGAGACUUCAGAAGAAAAGCUUGAAGUUGGCAGAGAUUGGUUCAUGAGAUUUAAGGAAAGCAGUCAUCUUCAUAACCAUAAAAAUGCAGGGCGAAGCAGCAAAUACCAAUGUAGAAGCUGUUGCAGUUACCUAGAAGACCUAACUGAGAUCAUUAAUGCAGUGGCCUGGAACUGAACCUGCAAAUUCAAGGUCGUUUCUCCAUAAAAUGCAUUUGUUACUUGGCUUAUCUGGGUGACACAGACUUUGGAAUGUCACCCAUCAGGACUUCUGUUCAUAAUAGAGCAAAAAUGAUUUAAAUUGUAAAAAGAAGACUAUGAAAAACCAACAGCAGGCAUUCAACACAUCGGCGAAUGUUCAGGAUAAAUGUCUGAACUGUGCAUGGAAAACUAGCACACAUCCAGAAUUUGAUAAGCACUGUUCAGUGUUAUACAGAGAUGGAAAAGUAGAUUGUGGCGCUACUUCCGAACAGAAACCUCCAUUAGGAAAUUAAAUAACCGCCUGGUCACCUCAAGUGAAAAGAAACAGUAAAAGAUGGAACGCUGACCCUCUUGGAGUGCAAAAAAGUAUUUAGUGGAACCGUGCAGCACUGGAAAGAGAUCUGUGAUUAAAUUUCAGUUCUGCUCCUCUGAGUUUGAUCAGCACAAUACUCCAGUUUCAUCCACAUCGAAGCAAAUGGACUUCUUUAUACUCUUCAAAAUUAUUGAGAGCCCCAAAGAACUUUUGUUUAGCUUGCAGCUGCAGCAGAUCACCUGGCAGUGCCUGACUGUGGAGACAGCAUCCUUGCUACGCCCAACUGCAGCAUGGGCUCCUCAGAGAGGGGCUGCGGUCUAGUUACUUUCCUUCUGGCCAUUUAUGGUGCGGACGUAUCCGGUGCUUGCUCUCAGCCAGGAAGGAACACGAUAUAUUUCAAGUUUCUGAAAAGCGAGGAGUCUAAAGUCACCCCGUGCUGUGCUUUCUUCAAAGCGAUGGUGCCAGUCCAGGAGGGUCCUCAGCAGGCUGAUUUUUAAAGUACCUCCUUUUUGGUUUAGGAUUCUGCUUCAUCCCCAUCACUUUCAUCAUUGUUGUCAUUCUCUGCCAUGUCUUCUCCCCUCUUUAAGCCUUUUCAGAUAAUUACUAGCUAAAAUUGUCUUGGGUAAUCUGCAAGAAACUAAAAAGGUUUCUGAUUUUUCGGCAGUAUUUGACAAAUCAUUGAGUGCUUUCGUUUUCCAUUGCCAUCUCUCUAAGAAUAGGUGGCUAGACACUGAACGAAGAGUUCGGUAGACUUGGGCGUCCGCACGCAGGACUCCUGGUCAAUGGUGAACACCGUGGAGGAAGCUCUUUGUGAUGACCCGGAUGUGGAACCUGGAACCUGCGCCGCUGCUCCCUGCUCUUGUCUCCUCGGCAACCGUGUUGGCCAUCUUCCCGUACCUCCUGUGCGUGGUCUCCUGGGACCCGCCGUGAGCAGGGAAGACCAGCAUGGAGGGGGACAGCAACAUCCACGGCCACCUUAGAAGCUGUGCAGGCCAUGUUUGGAUGUUUGGAAGAACCCAAGAAGCCAGUUUCAUUUUGCUGGUGAUUGGUUUGAAGUGUGAUACAGCACCAGGAUCUAUACACGGAGACCUAAGGUGGGGCAUCUGCUCGAGUCUUCUGGGAGAGAGAUUUCUUCCUGACAAAGAAAGAGAUCCAUGGAGAAAUUCCACUUUUCUUUUCUGCCAUUGGAUGCUGUUGUAUCAUGACUUGAUAUCUUGCACUUCUGAAAGAAAAAAAACAAAAAAAAUUAUACAGAAGCCAAAUUGAAACCCAGACACGUUGAGGGGCAAGUUAGCUGAAACUGGAAUCCCUGACCUUUAUAAAUUUCUAAUUUUGAGUUGAUAGUUUAUUUCAAACUUAGUUUCCUAAGUUUGAGUUGAUAGUUGAUUAAAAUAUUUGACAUGUAGGAAAAGACUGGUGUUUUUAUGUUUUAGGACAGUAAAGCCAAACAAUGAGUAUACAGCCUUGAAAGAAAUAUGGCAUAUAAUAGAAUUACUCUUGGUUCUUUUGUGGACUUGGAAUGUUAUAAUUCUAUUCUUUACAUUUCUUGUCCACCAUUCAAAAAUAUUGAUAGGGUGUACAUUAUGUGCCAGAAAUUUGUUUUGGAUACUUACUGUACUGAGGUGAGCUAUAAAUGGUUGCUGCUUUUCAGUGGCUUACAGGCCAGUAGGGGAUGUGGAUGUAUAAACAAAUGCUAUGGUUUAAAAUGCAGAGAGGUAAAAACUAAUUUGAUGUAUAUCAAAUUACUUAGGAAUAUAAAAAGCUAUUUUGUGGUAAAGUUUUUCUAUUCUAUGAUAAUGUAUUUUUCUCAUAUUUGAGUACAGUGCAUUUCUUUCAAUUUUAGUUUAUUGAGUACUAUAUUAUACUUAAGGUUUGAUAAUGCAAGACUCUGAGGGAAUAUUUGUUCUUUAGAAAUGAGUCCAUGAUGGUCCCUUGUGUAUUGGCCCCCAUAUAGUUUGCUUCUUCACAGUGGGUUUGAACUAUUAAUUUAAAGCCAACUCAAAAUUUUUAUGUAUCUAAGUGCUUUAAAUGUAGCCCAAAUAAAUAAGCAUAUUUUCAGCCAUUUA
This is a long non-coding RNA of Canis lupus familiaris (dog), 3184 nucleotides long. RefSeq lists it as uncharacterized. The transcript is spliced from 11 exons. NCBI's taxonomy places the organism in Eukaryota, Metazoa, Chordata, Mammalia, Carnivora, Canidae. The record is from RefSeq and is a predicted model, not a curated record.